UGCUUCGGGAGGUAUCUGUGUAGAGUC
This 27-nucleotide small RNA is filed under the name Bombyx mori (domestic silkworm). Its description in RNAcentral is "ovarian small RNA-34285". Lineage: Eukaryota; Metazoa; Arthropoda; Insecta; Lepidoptera; Bombycidae. The record is from RNAcentral.